This 200-nucleotide ribosomal RNA is filed under the name uncultured bacterium. RNAcentral describes it as "partial 16S ribosomal RNA". It matches the Rfam family "Bacterial small subunit ribosomal RNA", at positions 304 to 496 of the family's 1533-position model. The record is from RNAcentral.
UCCGCCGCGCGGCGACCGGGGCACGGGCCCGGCGCCUACGGGAGGCAGCAGUAGGGAAUCUUCCACAAUGGACGAAAGUCUGAUGGAGCAAUGCCGCGUGAGCGAAGAAGGUUUUCGGAUCGUAAAGCUCUGUUGUAAGGGAAGAACACGUACGGGAGUAACUGCCCGUGCCAUGACGGUACCUUAUUAGAAAGCCACGG